Molecule: ribosomal RNA, 253 nt
Filed under: uncultured bacterium
Lineage: Bacteria
Description: partial 16S ribosomal RNA
Rfam family: Bacterial small subunit ribosomal RNA
Source: RNAcentral
UACGGAGGGUGCAAGCGUUAUCCAGAUUCACUGGGUUUAAAGGGUGCGUAGGCGGUCCUAUAAGUCAGUGGUGAAAUAUCGCAGCUCAACUGUGAGGGUGCCAUUGAUACUGUAGGACUUGAGUGAAUUUGAGGUAGGCGGAAUUGACGGUGUAGCGGUGAAAUGCUUAGAUAUCGUCAAGAACACCGAUAGUGAAGACAGCUUACCAAGCUUCAACUGACGCUGAGGCACGAAAGUGUGGGGAUCAAACAGG